CUUGCUGGAGAUCCCUGCCUACUUGAGACCUUCUAAAGAUCUAUUAUUAUGCAGAUGCACAGACAACUCACACUGCUUAUCCAGAGGGCCUAGAGGUGCUGCAGUUCCCUAAUAAUCAGAUAGAAAAGCAUUAUCCUGAUGGCACACAAGAAAUUGUGUUCCCAGAUCACACAGUGAAAUGCCUCUAUAGUGAUGGAUUCGAGGAAACUUUUUUCCCAGAUGGUACAAUAGUAAAAGUAGAAAAGAACGGAGAUAAACUAGUGGUAUUCAGUAAUGGCCAGAAGGAGUUUCACACUGCACAGUUCAAGAGGAGGGAGUACCCAGAUGGAACCGUAAAGACUGUGUACUGCAAUGGCAGGCAAGAAACCAAGUAUUUGUCUGGACGUGUUCGAAUCAAAGACAAAGAGGGUAAUGUCAUCCUCGAUAAGAAGUGAUUCCUCCCAUCAGUGGCCGAACUAUAUGACUCAUCUUACUGCCUGGUGACUGAAAAGACCAAUUAUUUCCUCGUGCCCUUCAAAUUCCUGUAGCAAGAAACACGUUCAUAGAAUGCUGCUUUGGGCUUUUCUCACACCUACAUGCAAAACAAUUGCAAGAUUAUGGAACUUCUCCCUCUUCUCUAUACCUUCCAGUGGGCCAGACUGCCAACGCAUCAGCAUUCAUAUUGCAGAUCAUCUUUGGAAGAAACAGAUCGAGCAAAGUAGAAAAUGUUGUUUGUAUUGAUCAUACUCAUACUGUUGUUCAUGAAUUUAAUUAUGAUGUUCUAAAGAUCCAAGAAGUUUGAUGUCAGAUGGUGUGGUAAUAACACUGUACUGUUUUGGUUAUGUUUCAUUACAACAAAGGAACAACUUUAAAUCUGUGCUCUUCACUACUGAAAUACUUAAUACAUUUUAUAUGUUUUGUAAAAGGAAAGUCUAAUCAAAAGAAAUCCAAGAGAUCAUUCUUUUCCGUGUGUUUACUAAGAAUUUCUGCUCAGUGUAGCCUCUGAUUAAAACAAAUGUGUGUUUUGGUUUUUUUCAAUUGACCAUCGUAUAAACAAUAAAUAUGAUUAAUUCUCUCUUUCAGUUAGGUUAGGAAAAUUGAUGUUUCCAAGGCACAAGUGCUUUUAUUCUCAGGAUUUUUUUUAACAAGGAGUGCAUGUUCUCCAGUUGUUAUGCUUACAUCCUUUUUGUUUCUAUAGUAAAAUACAAACUUGCCUUAAAUUGUUGAUUGCUAUUCAUUUAUCUGCGCAUAUAAUCCUUUAUAAUUUUAAGUUCAAUAAGGAAUAAUUUUGUUUGUGAUCUGCUUGCUCCUUGGUUAAUUAAGCACUCUUGACUCUACUUGUAGGACGUGUUCUCCUGGAAUAAAAAGCAUGCAGUCCUGCACAGAUGUAACAAGUGAUAUGUGUAACCUCCUAGGUCUCUGCGCAUGUUUUUCAAGCAAUAUUUUAUAGCACAGAAGCAAAGGGAUUCUUGAAGUAAGGGGUGCCAUUUAAUUUUGUUAGAAAAGGAGACAGCAAAGUACAUAACUAAUGAGCCUUGGCAGGUUAGGAGCCCUUCACAGACCAAUUAUGGCAAGUUAUACUAUUUUUCACAGGCUAAUUCUUACACCUUGUCUCCCUUACCUUCCAUUUGCUUUCCAUUGGUAAUCAGGAGCUGCUUGCUCUACUAGGUAUAGUGCAGGAAUACUAAUAAUUCAAAUUUUGUGGUGCGUAUUUACCUUAAUCGUAACAAAUUUGCCUACUUUGGAAAAGCCAGCUUACUAUAACUUUUCUCCUGUGGUAUGCAGUGAACAUGUUUUUAUGAAAUCUUUGGGGAUGUGAGACACAGCUGGAAAACCCUAUUUCUCUCCACAGGUUUUCUAGCACUACAAGAAGUAUGUUACAGCCAGUAUCUGGCGUCAAUUUUGAGACAAAUCUAGAAUUGUGGAUGACUUCUGAACAAUAACUUCAGUUUUAGACAGGUGGGGGCAGCAAAGGUGUACAAGAGAAGAGUAGUAAUCUUAGAGCCUCAGAUGUCUCAGUUCAGUGUCUUUUUAAUCUUCCAUGCUUAAUUAAUCAGUGAAGAAGUUCUACUGAAAGCAAAACAAAACUGCCUAAUUGCUACACUCUUCGGGUGGAUAACGCAGAGUCUGUGAGACAAAGGUUUGAUUUGCUCUUCUUGAAUACAGUAUUUGCAGUUUGUCCUGCCCUCCAAUAUCAAAUUUCUUUCUUACUUUUGGAAGCCUUCUUUAUCAAGGGCUUAUUUGGGGGGGAAAAAUACCACCACUGUAACAGCGUAUGUCAGUACAUUUUUUUUUAUAACUUGUUUUCCAUAAGAAUUUCUGCAGAAUCCUACAGGUCGUAAAAUGAAAGUUGUUUCAUAUUGUUGUUUCAUACAGUGCAGAAUUAACCUGUGGAAAGUGAUGCCAGGCAGCUCACUGGAUUGUUCAAAAAAUGUUAUUGCUUUGUGUGAUUCAUAUCACCUGCAUCUUUGUAAACUGAGAGCAUGUUGAAUGUUUCCCUAGUGUAAACUGACCAGCUUUUUCAAAUCAUAAAGCUGGGAAAAGAAAAGAAAAGA
Phasianus colchicus (ring-necked pheasant) is the source of this 2534-nucleotide non-coding RNA. The record is from RefSeq and is a predicted model, not a curated record. NCBI's taxonomy places the organism in Eukaryota, Metazoa, Chordata, Aves, Galliformes, Phasianidae.